AUGACUCUCGGCAACGGAUAUCUCGGCUCUUACAUCGAUGAAGAACGUAGCAAAAUGCGAUACUUGGUGUGAAUUGCAGAAUCCCGUGAACCAUCGAGUCUUUGAACGCAAGUUGCGCCCGAAUCCAUCUGGUCGAGGGCACGUCUGCCUGGGUGUCACG
This 160-nucleotide ribosomal RNA is filed under the name Saxifraga cernua. Its description in RNAcentral is "5.8S ribosomal RNA". It matches the Rfam family "5.8S ribosomal RNA". Rfam says of the family: 5.8S ribosomal RNA (5.8S rRNA) is a component of the large subunit of the eukaryotic ribosome. It is transcribed by RNA polymerase I as part of the 45S precursor that also contains 18S and 28S rRNA. Functionally, it is thought that 5.8S rRNA may be involved in ribosome translocation. The record is from RNAcentral. Lineage: Eukaryota; Viridiplantae; Streptophyta; Magnoliopsida; Saxifragales; Saxifragaceae.